Long non-coding RNA from Aethalodelphis obliquidens (Pacific white-sided dolphin), 4515 nucleotides. RefSeq lists it as uncharacterized. Lineage: Eukaryota; Metazoa; Chordata; Mammalia; Artiodactyla; Delphinidae. The transcript has 7 exons. The record is from RefSeq and is a predicted model, not a curated record.
UAUUUUUAAAUUGUCUCCAUUUUUAUUUCUAAUAUCAACAGAUAUAACUCAUAUAAACAAAAACUCUUUUAUGGUCCUCAGAAAUUUUUUUAAGUGUAAAAGGAUCUUCAGACCAAAACCUUUGAGAAAUGCCAUACAAAAUCAUUAAAAUUCCACUGCUUCUGUUCAUGCUUCUAGUGGUACAGACAGUUCACAGAUAGGUCAUGCACUACCAUUCCAGAAUCUUCCUUAUAACUAGGAGUUUCUGUAGUGUCUUUCAACAUUGCUUCUCCUUUAGAGAAAUUGGUUGUUUGAGUUUUUAUUAGGUUUUCUCAGUCUUGAAAAAGUUUAAGCUCUCCUUACUUCAGCCCACUAUUCUUUAUCAUAAGGAAGAAUAUCAAGCAUGUUAUUGUUAAAAGAGAGAAAAGCAAAGCCAAAACAAUGGAACUUUUCAAUUUAAUUAUAAAAACAAGUAGUGGCCAGUAUUUAUGUGCACUUACUAUGUGUCAGACUCUGUGCUAAGUGCUUUAUAUUUAUCUUCUCAUUUAAUCCUCUCAACAGUGCCUAAAAAUAGGGUGACCAUAGUCCUCAGUUUGCCUGCGGUGUUCCUGGUUUAUGCCAUUUGUUCAAGUAUAAUUAUUAAUAAUAUCCCCCUGCCAGCACAUAAGUUUCCCAGUUUGGACAUAAAUUAUCUGAUCACCCUCCCUGUAAAAAUUACUAUCCACAGUUUACAAAUUAGGAAACUGAGGCACAGAGAGAUUGAGUGUCUUGCCCAAAGUACACUGCUAGUAAAUGUGGGUGUGGGAUCCUAACCCAGGUCUGUCUAGCUCUGUAGUUCAGGCUUUUAAAGAAUUACAAACUGUUUCACAGUGAUAUCAAUGCUCCUGAGAUUUAUGUUGACCCCAACUAUAGUAAUAUAUUCCAGAAUAAAAGAAAGUAGAACACAGAAAUUUAAGGUAAAAUUUUAAAUUCAGUUUCAGUUGUAAAACACUGAUGUGAUAGAUGUGCUGUUCCGACACUCAUCUUUUACACAGUUCAGAGGCGCACACUUGCUAUCAACAGUUUGCAGAAAACCAAUGCUGCUUCUGUGUUGGGGCUUGCGGGGGAGUGCAGUUCUUGCUGGUUCAGUAAAGCUGAAGGAUGCCUAUUUAUAAAACAGGAAAGGUGGACCAAACUGUUAGAGGCCUUCCUAAUAGGGAUUCUCCCUGAUUAUAAGUAACCAUGCAAGUUUCAUUGGGUGUAUAAAUGUGCCUAGCUUAAAACUACAUCUCCCAGCAGUCUCUGCAGAUGAAGGACCUGACCAUGCUAUGCAGUCCUGGCCAACGAAAUGUAAGUAGAAGUUGUUGGAUGAGGCUUCUGGGAAUGCUUUCUUAAAAUGGAAGGCCAAUUUAGCUGACCUUGCCUUUUACUUUUCUUUACAUCUGGAACUCAAAUGCAGUACUGGAGUUUGAGCAGCCAUCUUGUGACUACAAAGGAACAAGCACAUGUUAAGGAUGGCUAGGUGAAGGGAAGAGAGAAGGACCUGGCUCUCUGAGGACAUUGUGGAUCUACCAAAUCAACCCUGGACUGAAAAAGACAUGAAACUGGGUUUUGAAAUUCAGUCCUCAGAUGAAAUCUCAAGGGGACGUGUGACAGGGUGGAAAGAGUAAGAAGUUGAGUCAGAUGGACCCUGGCUAUAGCAUUUGUUCAGCCCAUGACAAACCAAGGAACUCAGAGAGAGGAAGAAGAGGGAGGUUAGGAUAUUUAUUCCUCCAGCCCCCUUCUAAGAACUCAGCUGCAUCCCUCAAUGGAAGGACUCAGCUCCUAAAAGGCCAUCAACUAUUAUGUACUGAAAAACAAAACAAAACUCCUGGAUAACUAGGCCCUGACAGACACCUGUGACCCAAACUGCCCAUAAUGAACUCAGUGCGUUGCCUGAGACGAGGGGAUGCAUUUUACGGCAGUAAGUUGAGCACUGCCCUCAGCACCUGUGGACUUCGCUGACCUUACCACGUGCUCCAUCACACAGGAGUAACUUGCUUGACAGAACAGUGGAGUGGCUUGCUGAUGGCUCAGUCCAGACACCAGCUGAGAGACACCACCCUGUGAGGUUGAGCUGCCGAUUUAUAAAUCGAGAGAUUCUAAUGCAGCAAGUCCGGGGCUGGACCCAAGGAGUCUGGAUGUAAGCAGCAUCCCAGGAGAUCCUGAUGCAGUUGGUCCCUGGAGAAAUACGGCCCUAAACAGGAUGCUCCGGAGGGCGUCGUGCUGGCCUCUGGCACACAGUGGCGGGUCCUGGAUUUCUGCAGCCAGAAAUCACCGGGGACUGUGAACCCACUUGCCUGCUGUGGACACCUCCUACAAACCUGAUUCGGAACUUGGAACCCUGGGCUGAUGACCGCGGAGGGCCCCUAUUCCACUGUCUUAGUUUACACCGGGGGAACUGAGGCUCAGAGUCGCACAGGGAGCUGUUCCGAAUUACAAAUCAGAAUGCCUGCCCUGGAGACUUCAGACCCCAGUACAUAGGCUGUUUAGCUCACAAAAUUAUUUAGUGCUUAUAAUGUUAUAUAUCACUCCUAGUGGUGGUGUUUUUUCCUCUAAUUGAACCCUGACUGCUCUACGGGAACGGCGAGGACAUCCCAUCUGAGCACAGACAUCCCAUCUGAGAACAGACAAUGGACAAGCCAAGAGGAAAAAAAAGAAAAAAGAUGCUGGAUACUGAAAGUGCCCUGGUUGAGUAAACCAGGGACUGUUAGGGUGACCCAAUUUUCAGGGGAAGAAAGAUCAACCAAGACGUGACAACCCUGACUUUUGUGUGCCCCUAACACAGGGGUGCACAAUCACAAUCAGUUUCAUGGUUUGGUGGAAGGACAUUAAAAUAAGCCUACCUGGUGUGACCCAGCCCCGCCACUUACCAGCUGGGGGACCUUAAGCAAGUUACUUAACUGCUCUUUGUCUCAGUUCACGCACAUGUAAAAUGGAGAUGAUAAUAGUACAUACCUCAAAUGUUGCUGAGAGGUCUGCGUGAAUUAACAUACCUAAAGCACCUUGAAUAAUCAUCGGCAUAUAAUAAGCACUAUCUAACUUUCUUCUCUGUUUAUAGGAGAUGUUCAUAUUCACAGGUAAUGCCAGUCCUCCGUGUGUUCCUUGGAGCAUACCCUCCUUUCCCUCACCAUUUGCUCCAGGAACUCCCCUUGCCUCUCUUGCAAGCAUUCUCCUUCUCAUCUCCCUCACCUAAAACCCCACCAUCAGCCCUUAUGGAGGGUGUCUUUUGAGCAGCCUACCAACCCUUCCCUGGGUCUUCUCUGCCCUGACCUCACCUUACAGAAACCAGUUAUCAGCAUCUAAAAUCCAAGGUGCAAAGAAUCCUGUGAGGUCUGAAUGGCCAUGGUGGGAGAGCAGCUAUGAGAGGCUCUUCCUGCUUAUAUCACUAACUUAAGGAGCAUCUGCUGUAUACCAUGCAGACCACCAGACCCAUUCCCUACAAUGCUUCAGUCUUCCCAACAGCACGUUGGGUAAUACCAUCUCUGUUUCACGGGAGAAGCAGUUGAUGUUAAGAGAGGUUAAGUCAUUGCCCUAAAUCACACAGCUUAAGGGUCAUGGGGUCAGGAUAGGAAAGCAGGUCCUUGUGGGCUGUGUCCAGAGGCGUGUACCCACAACCAUUGCUUCCAAUGCUUCCUCUUCCCUCAUCCCCUGUUUUGGCCUUGGGCAGAAGCCACCAUGUUCAGACAGUGCACAAUCAAUUGACCAGGACAACAAGAAGGGCAGGCAGGUCAUCUCAACCACUUAUAAGGUGGGUAUUAUUAUCCCCAUUUCACAUGUGCAUGAGCUGAGGCAAAGAAAGAUUAGGUAAACCCUGACUGUGCCUUCCUGUUUCCUAACGGGGCACUCCCUCUGGAUUACAGGUUUUACUUCUCUCUAAAAUGUUCUCAGUCGUUGAGGAGGAACCACAGGGACCACGCAGAAAUGCUUUGAUCUGGUUACGUAGGAGCAAAGUUAAUUCAUUACAUACGCAUGCCUUAGCACAAGAAGACCGGUUUCUCUCAGGAAAGAGGCUGUUUACCUUUUGUUACAUACAGGGACAUAGAAAGACUAGCACAAUGUGUGCUGUAACAAACCCCUGAAUACAAACCACUCAUCUUUAGCAAUUAGCAACGAUUUGUGAAUUUUGUUUCAUCUAUUGCUUGAGACAUCCUGAAAUUUCACUCAUAAAUUCUUCAGUAUACAUCUCUCACUGGAAAGGACCUUUUACAUCGCUAAUAAAUCACUGUGCCAUGAUUGCACCUAGCGAAAGUCAUAGUAAAUUAGUAGCAUCUAAAAAAAAACUAAUAUUAAUAAGAUUUUCAAUAAAUUAAUAACAUGCAAUACUCAAACCCUAUUCAAAUGUCCUUGAUUAUCUCAAAAAUGACUUUUUGUAGGUUUUUUUUAUAUGGCUUGCUAAGCCACAAAUACAGGCAAAUGAUCUGGUUAUGACAAACAUAAUCUCCCUCCCUCCCUCCCUCCCUCCCUCCCUUCCUUCCUUCCUUCCUAAGUAUCUGUUGACUGCCUAUUAUGCCAGAC